UGGGUCUUAGCUCAGCGGUAGAGCACGGUCCUCAUAAGACCAAGGUCCCUGGUUCGAAUCCAGGAUGCCCAA
Molecule: transfer RNA, 72 nt
Filed under: Paracoccaceae bacterium
Lineage: Bacteria; Pseudomonadati; Pseudomonadota; Alphaproteobacteria; Rhodobacterales; Paracoccaceae
Description: Rhodobacteraceae bacterium (subsurface metagenome) tRNA-Met
Rfam family: tRNA
About the family: Transfer RNA (tRNA) molecules are approximately 80 nucleotides in length. Their secondary structure includes four short double-helical elements and three loops (D, anti-codon, and T loops). Further hydrogen bonds mediate the characteristic L-shaped molecular structure. tRNAs have two regions of fundamental functional importance: the anti-codon, which is responsible for specific mRNA codon recognition, and the 3' end, to which the tRNAs corresponding amino acid is attached (by aminoacyl-tRNA synthetases). tRNAs cope with the degeneracy of the genetic code in two manners: having more than one tRNA (with a specific anti-codon) for a particular amino acid; and 'wobble' base-pairing, i.e. permitting non-standard base-pairing at the 3rd anti-codon position.
Source: RNAcentral